This 311-nucleotide RNase P RNA is filed under the name Candidatus Portnoybacteria bacterium CG10_big_fil_rev_8_21_14_0_10_38_18. RNAcentral describes it as "RNase P RNA component class A". It matches the Rfam family "Bacterial RNase P class A". From Rfam's summary of the family: Ribonuclease P (RNase P) is a ubiquitous endoribonuclease, found in archaea, bacteria and eukarya as well as chloroplasts and mitochondria. Its best characterised activity is the generation of mature 5'-ends of tRNAs by cleaving the 5'-leader elements of precursor-tRNAs. Lineage: Bacteria; Candidatus Portnoyibacteriota. The record is from RNAcentral.
CUAGCAAGUCGGGUAAUCGCUCUCCCGCAACGCGGGAGGUAGGAAAGUCCGAACACUCCUCCGACUAAGGUCGGAGAACAGCCUAGCGGGUAACGCCCGUCGUCCGUAAGGAUAGGGAUGCGAACAGUGACGAUGCUCCGAUGUAAAAUCGGAGAGUGAAACGGCUAAAUUCCUAGGUGGGUGCAAGAGCAAAUAUCCCAAGGUGGCUCGCUUGAGUCCGGCGGUAACGUCGGACCUAGAUAAAUGAUUACCAUCCGGUCCGAUUUUAUCGGACCGAGAUACAGAAUUCGGCUUACAGACUUACUGGGACA